ACCUCAGCGGGAAGCUCUGACACGCGGCCCACAUUCCGGCCGCCGGGACCGCGCCGAGCCACUGGCGAGACCGACCCGCCGAGGG
This 85-nucleotide non-coding RNA is filed under the name unclassified sequences. RNAcentral's name for it is "c-di-GMP sequence". It matches the Rfam family "c-di-GMP-II-GAG riboswitch aptamer". The record is from Rfam by way of RNAcentral.